RNAcentral lists this ribosomal RNA (2902 nucleotides) under Klebsiella pneumoniae. Its description in RNAcentral is "23S ribosomal RNA". It matches the Rfam family "Bacterial large subunit ribosomal RNA". Lineage: Bacteria; Pseudomonadati; Pseudomonadota; Gammaproteobacteria; Enterobacterales; Enterobacteriaceae. The record is from RNAcentral.
GGUUAAGCGACUAAGCGUACACGGUGGAUGCCCUGGCAGUCAGAGGCGAUGAAGGACGUGCUAAUCUGCGAAAAGCGUCGGUAAGGUGAUAUGAACCGUUAUAGCCGGCGAUGUCCGAAUGGGGAAACCCAGUGCAAUUCGUUGCACUAUCGUUAACUGAAUACAUAGGUUAACGAGGCGAACCGGGGGAACUGAAACAUCUAAGUACCCCGAGGAAAAGAAAUCAACCGAGAUUCCCCCAGUAGCGGCGAGCGAACGGGGAGCAGCCCAGAGUCUGAAUCAGCUUGUGUGUUAGUGGAACGGUCUGGAAAGUCCGACGGUACAGGGUGAUAGUCCCGUACACCAAAAUGCACAGGCUGUGAACUCGAAGAGUAGGGCGGGACACGUGGUAUCCUGUCUGAAUAUGGGGGGACCAUCCUCCAAGGCUAAAUACUCCUGACUGACCGAUAGUGAACCAGUACCGUGAGGGAAAGGCGAAAAGAACCCCGGCGAGGGGAGUGAAAAAGAACCUGAAACCGUGUACGUACAAGCAGUGGGAGCACCUUCGGGUGUGACUGCGUACCUUUUGUAUAAUGGGUCAGCGACUUAUAUUCUGUAGCAAGGUUAACCGUAUAGGGGAGCCGCAGGGAAACCGAGUCUUAACUGGGCGUUAAGUUGCAGGGUAUAGACCCGAAACCCGGUGAUCUAGCCAUGGGCAGGUUGAAGGUUGGGUAACACUAACUGGAGGACCGAACCGACUAAUGUUGAAAAAUUAGCGGAUGACUUGUGGCUGGGGGUGAAAGGCCAAUCAAACCGGGAGAUAGCUGGUUCUCCCCGAAAGCUAUUUAGGUAGCGCCUCGUGAACUCAUCUUCGGGGGUAGAGCACUGUUUCGGCUAGGGGGUCAUCCCGACUUACCAACCCGAUGCAAACUACGAAUACCGAAGAAUGUUAUCACGGGAGACACACGGCGGGUGCUAACGUCCGUCGUGAAGAGGGAAACAACCCAGACCGCCAGCUAAGGUCCCAAAGUCAUGGUUAAGUGGGAAACGAUGUGGGAAGGCACAGACAGCCAGGAUGUUGGCUUAGAAGCAGCCAUCAUUUAAAGAAAGCGUAAUAGCUCACUGGUCGAGUCGGCCUGCGCGGAAGAUGUAACGGGGCUAAACCAUGCACCGAAGCUGCGGCAGCGACACUAUGUGUUGUUGGGUAGGGGAGCGUUCUGUAAGCCUGCGAAGGUGUGCUGUGAGGCAUGCUGGAGGUAUCAGAAGUGCGAAUGCUGACAUAAGUAACGAUAAAGCGGGUGAAAAGCCCGCUCGCCGGAAGACCAAGGGUUCCUGUCCAACGUUAAUCGGGGCAGGGUGAGUCGACCCCUAAGGCGAGGCCGAAAGGCGUAGUCGAUGGGAAACAGGUUAAUAUUCCUGUACUUGGUGUUACUGCGAAGGGGGGACGGAGAAGGCUAUGUUAGCCGGGCGACGGUUGUCCCGGUUUAAGCAUGUAGGCUGAUUAUCCAGGCAAAUCCGGAUAAUCAAGGCUGAGGUGUGAUGACGAGGCACUACGGUGCUGAAGUAACAAAUGCCCUGCUUCCAGGAAAAGCCUCUAAGCAUCAGGUAACAUUAAAUCGUACCCCAAACCGACACAGGUGGUCAGGUAGAGAAUACCAAGGCGCUUGAGAGAACUCGGGUGAAGGAACUAGGCAAAAUGGUGCCGUAACUUCGGGAGAAGGCACGCUGGUGUGUAGGUGAAGUCCCUGCGGAUGGAGCUGAGACCAGUCGAAGAUACCAGCUGGCUGCAACUGUUUAUUAAAAACACAGCACUGUGCAAACACGAAAGUGGACGUAUACGGUGUGACGCCUGCCCGGUGCCGGAAGGUUAAUUGAUGGGGUUAUCCGUAAGGAGAAGCUCUUGAUCGAAGCCCCGGUAAACGGCGGCCGUAACUAUAACGGUCCUAAGGUAGCGAAAUUCCUUGUCGGGUAAGUUCCGACCUGCACGAAUGGCGUAAUGAUGGCCAGGCUGUCUCCACCCGAGACUCAGUGAAAUUGAACUCGCUGUGAAGAUGCAGUGUACCCGCGGCAAGACGGAAAGACCCCGUGAACCUUUACUAUAGCUUGACACUGAACAUUGAGCCUUGAUGUGUAGGAUAGGUGGGAGGCUUUGAAGCGUGGACGCCAGUCUGCGUGGAGCCAACCUUGAAAUACCACCCUUUAAUGUUUGAUGUUCUAACGUUGGCCCCUGACCGGGGUUGCGGACAGUGUCUGGUGGGUAGUUUGACUGGGGCGGUCUCCUCCCAAAGCGUAACGGAGGAGCACGAAGGUUAGCUAAUCCUGGUCGGACAUCAGGAGGUUAGUGCAAUGGCAUAAGCUAGCUUGACUGCGAGCGUGACGGCGCGAGCAGGUGCGAAAGCAGGUCAUAGUGAUCCGGUGGUUCUGAAUGGAAGGGCCAUCGCUCAACGGAUAAAAGGUACUCCGGGGAUAACAGGCUGAUACCGCCCAAGAGUUCAUAUCGACGGCGGUGUUUGGCACCUCGAUGUCGGCUCAUCACAUCCUGGGGCUGAAGUAGGUCCCAAGGGUAUGGCUGUUCGCCAUUUAAAGUGGUACGCGAGCUGGGUUUAGAACGUCGUGAGACAGUUCGGUCCCUAUCUGCCGUGGGCGCUGGAGAAUUGAGGGGGGCUGCUCCUAGUACGAGAGGACCGGAGUGGACGCAUCACUGGUGUUCGGGUUGUCAUGCCAAUGGCACUGCCCGGUAGCUAAAUGCGGAAGAGAUAAGUGCUGAAAGCAUCUAAGCACGAAACUUGCCCCGAGAUGAGUUCUCCCUGAGACUUUAAGUCUCCUGAAGGAACGUUAAAGACGAUGACGUUGAUAGGCCGGGUGUGUAAGCGCAGCGAUGCGUUGAGCUAACCGGUACUAAUGAACCGUGAGGCUUAACCUU